GACGAACGCUGGCGGCGUGCUUAACACAUGCAAGUCGAACGGUGAACGAGGGAGCUUGCUCCCUCCGGAUCAGUGGCGAACGGGUGAGUAACACGUGAGCAAUCUGCCCCGAACUCUGGGAUAAGCGUUGGAAACGACGUCUAAUACCGGAUACGACGCGGGAGGGCAUCCUCUCCGCGUGGAAAGAACUUCGGUUCGGGAUGAGCUCGCGGCCUAUCAGCUUGUUGGUGAGGUAACGGCUCACCAAGGCGACGACGGGUAGCCGGCCUGAGAGGGUGACCGGCCACACUGGGACUGAGACACGGCCCAGACUCCUACGGGAGGCAGCAGUGGGGAAUAUUGCACAAUGCGCGCAAGCCUGAUGCAGCAACGCCGCGUGAGGGACGACGGCCUUCGGGUUGUAAACCUCUUUUAGCAGGGAAGAAGCGAAAGUGACGGUACCUGCAGAAAAAGCACCGGCUAACUACGUG
This 470-nucleotide ribosomal RNA is filed under the name uncultured bacterium. RNAcentral describes it as "partial 16S ribosomal RNA". It matches the Rfam family "Bacterial small subunit ribosomal RNA", at positions 28 to 507 of the family's 1533-position model. The record is from RNAcentral.